CUACGUGCCAGCAGCCGCGGUCAUACGUAGGAUCCGAGCAUUAUCCGGAGCGACUGGGUGUAAAGAGUUGCGUAGGUGGCAAGGUAAGUAGAUAGUGAAAUCUGGUGGCUCAACCAUUCAGACUAUUAUCUAAACUAUCUAGCUCGAGACUGUUAUGGGUAACUGGAAUUUCUAGUGUAGGAGUGAAAUCCGUAGAUAUUAGAAGGAACACCGAUAGCGUAGGCAGGUUACUGGGACAGUUCUGACACUAAGGCACGAAAGCGUAGGGAGCAAACGGGAUUAGAUACCCCGGUAGUCUACGCCGUAAACGAUGGAUACUAGCAGUUUUGGGUAUCGACCCCCGGAGUUGCGAAGCUAACGCGUUAAGUAUCCCACCUGUGUAGUACGAUCGCAAGAUUAAAACAUAAAGGAAUUGACGGGGACCCGCACAAGCGGUGGAGCGUGAUCUUUAAUUCGAUGGUAAACGAUAAACCUUACCAAGGCUUGACGUCCGAUGUAGGCUCUCGAAAGAGAACUGUGC
This 520-nucleotide ribosomal RNA is filed under the name uncultured bacterium. RNAcentral's name for it is "bacterial SSU rRNA". It matches the Rfam family "Bacterial small subunit ribosomal RNA", at positions 501 to 1017 of the family's 1533-position model. The record is from RNAcentral.